RNAcentral lists this ribosomal RNA (433 nucleotides) under uncultured bacterium. RNAcentral's name for it is "partial 16S ribosomal RNA". It matches the Rfam family "Bacterial small subunit ribosomal RNA", at positions 29 to 507 of the family's 1533-position model. The record is from RNAcentral.
AGCGAACGCUGGCGGCAGGCUUAACACAUGCAAGUCGAGCGGGCCCUUCGGGGUCAGCGGCAGACGGGUGAGUAACACGUGGGAACGUACCCUUUGGUACGGAAUAACGCUGGGAAACUAGCGCUAAUACCGGAUACGCCCUUUUGGGGAAAGGCUUGCUGCCGAAGGAUCGGCCCGCGUCUGAUUAGCUAGUUGGUGGGGUAAUGGCCUACCAAGGCGACGAUCAGUAGCUGGUCUGAGAGGAUGAUCAGCCACACUGGGACUGAGACACGGCCCAGACUCCUACGGGAGGCAGCAGUGGGGAAUAUUGGACAAUGGGCGCAAGCCUGAUCCAGCCAUGCCGCGUGAGUGAUGAAGGCCUUAGGGUUGUAAAGCUCUUUUGUCCGGGACGAUAAUGACGGUACCGGAAGAAUAAGCCCCGGCUAACUUCGUG